UCCCUAUCAGGAUCUUAUCUGGAGAGUUUCCAGUACUUUAUCAGUUUCGGCUAUGGAAGGGAGAGUCAAACUGAGACAUAUCCAUUCCAUUCCUAGUUUGGGCAUUGGCUAGUGAGUGGAAGUCAAUCUGCUACAAGU
Molecule: small nucleolar RNA, 138 nt
Organism: Tachyglossus aculeatus (Australian echidna)
Lineage: Eukaryota; Metazoa; Chordata; Mammalia; Monotremata; Tachyglossidae
Source: RefSeq, a predicted model, not a curated record